Molecule: long non-coding RNA, 112 nt
Organism: Pipistrellus kuhlii (Kuhl's pipistrelle)
Lineage: Eukaryota; Metazoa; Chordata; Mammalia; Chiroptera; Vespertilionidae
Exons: 3
Source: RefSeq, a predicted model, not a curated record
AGAAGUGACCGGGCAGGAACACCAGCCCCCUGCAUCCAGACUAGACCAGCCCAGCUGCAGGACCCCAGAGGACACCACCAGGAUCCCCAAUUAAGUUUGUACCCGCAGCAAU